CUAGAGCAAGAGCAGGCAGAACCAUCAACUCAAAGUGGUGUGCAAGCUAGCGUCAUGUCAGGUUAAUCCAAGCUCAUUCCGUUGGUAUGCCCCAUGGAUGGAUUUACUUACUUUGUUGUGUACUAGAGGUGCUCAAUGAACAAACUUCAGUGGGAUAGAAACACGGGUUUGUUGUAUUUCACAAAACUGAAACAUGAUACAUCUAUUUGUAUCGAUUUCUCCGACAAGUUCCGGGCGGAGGGAGUACUAUUCAUUUAAGAUAAACUUACCUAUUUUUAGAAAACUCAACUUUAUUGUGAGGUUUGAUAAUUCUUCUAUCCGGGGUUGGACUUAUAGUCGGUUGUCCAUACAGUACAUUACUUGUCGAAUAUUAUAUGGUUUCAGUUCUCGCAAACUACUCAAUAGUUUGCAGAUGAUUGAUGUAAUGCUAUUUUUAUGAUUUUUACACAUUAUCAGUUAUGUAUCAAAAGCUGAAGUGCCCCUUGAUCAAUGUAACCUGAAGAAGAUUUGUAUGAGUUGUAUGUAAUAGUAAUAUAGAAAUUAUGACUGAUGGAGAAAAAAAGGUGGUUGUAAUUGUAAAGAAGAGAAAAUGACUGUUGUAGAAUCUAGCAUGUCUACUAAUAAGCACAUGGCGAUGGAGAUAACUUUCUCAUUCACAACUUUCUUAUUUGCAAUGGCAGUGUCCACUGUUUUCUUCAUAAAAGUUUAUUAUUUGGUCUAUCAGUCGUAUGGUUUGAUAUUUGCUUUUUACAUAGAUGAAUACUUUUUUUGCCAACUGUAUCUAGAUGAAUACUUACAACACUGCUUAUUGUGAAAACUUGUUGUAUGUGUGAAUUUAUUUAUACUCUUGGUCCUGGCACACGGAGCCCAUAAGACGUUGAGUGUCCCGGUUGCUGUUGUACGUAUUUCAUUUGAUUAUGUUUCACGUGUGGAGUUCAUGAUCAAUUCAUCAUGAGCAUCAAUUAUCUUUACUGUUGAAUUUCUCUAUUUUUUUUUGUUAUAUGUUGAUGGUAG
This 1014-nucleotide long non-coding RNA is filed under the name Hordeum vulgare. RNAcentral's name for it is "long non-coding RNA (HVUL_LNC003165)". Lineage: Eukaryota; Viridiplantae; Streptophyta; Magnoliopsida; Poales; Poaceae. The record is from RNAcentral.